RNAcentral lists this ribosomal RNA (253 nucleotides) under uncultured bacterium. Its description in RNAcentral is "partial 16S ribosomal RNA". It matches the Rfam family "Bacterial small subunit ribosomal RNA", at positions 524 to 776 of the family's 1533-position model. The record is from RNAcentral.
UACGUAGGGGGCAAGCGUUGUCCGGAUUUAUUGGGCGUAAAGAGCGUGUAGGCGGCCAUGCAGGUCCGUUGUGAAAACUGGAGGCUUAACCUCCAGACGUCGAUGGAAACCGUAUGGCUAGAGUCCGGAAGAGGAGAGUGGAAUUCCUGGUGUAGCGGUGAAAUGCGCAGAUAUCAGGAAGAACACCCGUGGUGAAGGCGGCUCUCUGGGACGGUACUGACGCUGAGACGCGAAAGCGUGGGGAGCGAUCCGG